AUACGGAGGGUGCAAGCGUUACUCGGAAUCACUGGGCGUAAAGCGCGCGCAGGCGGCUAUUUAAGUUGGAUGUGAAAGCCUAUGGCUCAACCAUAGAACUGCAUCCAAAACUAUUUAGCUAGAGUGUGGGAGAGGAAGAUGGAAUUAGUUGUGUAGGGGUAAAAUCCGUAGAGAUAACUAGGAAUACCAAAAGCGAAGGCAAUCUUCUGGAACACUACUGACGCUGAGGCGCGAAAGCGUUGGGAGCAAACAGGAUUAGAAACCCCAGUAGUCC
RNAcentral lists this ribosomal RNA (274 nucleotides) under uncultured bacterium. RNAcentral describes it as "partial 16S ribosomal RNA". It matches the Rfam family "Bacterial small subunit ribosomal RNA", at positions 523 to 796 of the family's 1533-position model. The record is from RNAcentral.